Molecule: ribosomal RNA, 335 nt
Filed under: uncultured bacterium
Lineage: Bacteria
Description: bacterial SSU rRNA
Rfam family: Bacterial small subunit ribosomal RNA
Source: RNAcentral
AGGGUUUGAUUCUGGCUCAGGAUGAACGCUAGCUACAGGCCUAACACAUGCAAGUCGAGGGGCAGCAUGAUUGAAGCUUGCUUCAAUUGAUGGCGACCGGCGCACGGGUGAGUAACGCGUAUCCAACCUGCCCUUUACUCGGGGAUAGCCUUUCGAAAGAAAGAUUAAUACCCGAUGGUUUCCUUUGCCUGCAUGGACAGAGGAAUAAAGAUUUAUCGGUAAAGGAUGGGGAUGCGUUCCAUUAGAUAGUAGGCGGGGUAACGGCCCACCUAGUCGACGAUGGAUAGGGGUUCUGAGAGGAAGGUCCCCCACAUUGGAACUGAGACACGGUCCAA